GGCAAAUCCAUACAACACUGGUUUAUUGAUACUUCUGAAACCAUACACAAGCAUGGGGACAUAAGCAUUAAGUUAGAAUUUCUGCCAAUCCUAUUUUUUCUCCUUGCAUCUUUUUGAAACCCAACCCAAACAACCUGCUCAACAAGUCACAAAAACAAAAAAUUGAAGAGCUAGAACUGAUGCUGGUUUUGUAUGCAAUUCCUCUUGAGUUAAUGAAAAUAUUAAGUUGUAGAAGACUGACUGCAAGUUGAAGUUUCUCCACAUCCAGGGAAAGUGCACAGGAUUUUUCUAAUCAAAGAUUCCGUUGAAUUUCUUUGCCAUUGAUAUAAAUAUUUGGGAUGUGAGCAACCUUGGGCCAAUCCUCCCCAACAUUCUUUUCACAUUUUGCUGCUAGUUGGGGACAACUCCAUAUGCGCAAAAUUUGUAAUGCGGUAAGGUUGUCCAUCCCCUCUGCUAAAGACAUCAAAUUAGGACAAUCAUAGAUCUCAAGACAAUGCAGAGUGGUAGCAUACUGAAGUCCCUUUGGGAGAGACACCAAGCUUCGAUUAUCAUCUAAUGCUAGAGAACGGAGGUUUUGAAGGCCUUGCCAUUGCAUUCCUUUAUCAUUCUCAUCACGUGACAGAGUUGUUAUUUUU
RNAcentral lists this unclassified non-coding RNA (635 nucleotides) under Hevea brasiliensis (rubber tree). The record is from RNAcentral. Lineage: Eukaryota; Viridiplantae; Streptophyta; Magnoliopsida; Malpighiales; Euphorbiaceae.